UGGGGAAUUUUGGACAAUGGGCGAAAGCCUGAUCCAGCAAUGCCGCGUGUGUGAAGAAGGCCUUCGGGUUGUAAAGCACUUUUGUCCGGAAAGAAAUCCUUGGCUCUAAUACAGUCGGGGGAUGACGGUACCGGAAGAAUAAGCACCGGCUAACUACGUGCCAGCAGCCGCGGUAAUACGUAGGGUGCAAGCGUUAAUCGGAAUUACUGGGCGUAAAGCGUGCGCAGGCGGUUUGCUAAGACCGAUGUGAAAUCCCCGGGCUCAACCUGGGAACUGCAUUGGUGACUGGCAGGCUAGAGUAUGGCAGAGGGGGGUAGAAUUCCACGUGUAGCAGUGAAAUGCGUAGAGAUGUGGAGGAAUACCGAUGGCGAAGGCAGCCCCCUGGGCAAUACGACGCUCAUGCACGAAAAGCGUGGGGAGCAAAACAGGAUUAGAUACCCUGGUAGUCCACGCCCUAAAACGAUGUCAACUAGUUGUUGGGGAUUCAUUUCCUUAGUAACGUAGCUAACGCGUGAAGUUGACCGCCUGGGGAGUACGGUCGCAAGAUUAAAACUCAAAGGAAUUGACGGGGUCAUAGCUGUUUCCU
Molecule: ribosomal RNA, 586 nt
Filed under: uncultured bacterium
Lineage: Bacteria
Description: partial 16S ribosomal RNA
Rfam family: Bacterial small subunit ribosomal RNA
Source: RNAcentral